Molecule: ribosomal RNA, 402 nt
Filed under: uncultured bacterium
Lineage: Bacteria
Description: bacterial SSU rRNA
Rfam family: Bacterial small subunit ribosomal RNA
Source: RNAcentral
GAUGAACGCUAGCGGCAGGCUUAACACAUGCAAGUCGAGGGGUAUAGUUCUUCGGAACUAGAGACCGGCGCACGGGUGCGUAACGCGUAUGCAAUCUACCUUUUGCAGAGGGAUAGCCCAGAGAAAUUUGGAUUAAUACCUCAUAGUAUAGCAGUUUCGCAUGAAACCACUAUUAAAGUCACAACGGCAAAAGAUGAGCAUGCGUCCCAUUAGCUAGUUGGUAAGGUAACGGCUUACCAAGGCUACGAUGGGUAGGGGUCCUGAGAGGGAGAUCCCCCACACUGGUACUGAGACACGGACCAGACUCCCUACGGGAGGCAGCAGUGAGGAAUAGUUGGACAAUGGGGCGCAAGCCUGAUCCAGCCAUGCCGCGUGCAGGAUGACGGUCCUAUGGAUGUAAAC